UCGUGCUAGACGGGGGGGUAGCGGACCCCUGUACCCGCAAUCCGCUAUAGCGGGGUUGAAUUCCCACCCCCGGCCUUCAUUUCCCUGGGGACUGAUCGGCCACGGAGGGCGAAGAGGGCCAGGUCCCACGCGACGAGGAUCUGCAAACCCCGUCAGGUCCGGAAGGAAGCAGCGGUAAGCAGAGACCCUCGGGCGCCGUGGGGUGGCUUGGCCGGAGCAGGAAGUGGACGAUAUCGCCCGGGGAGAGAGAUCAAAGGUGGGUGCACGG
RNAcentral lists this signal recognition particle RNA (268 nucleotides) under Candidatus Methylomirabilota bacterium. RNAcentral describes it as "signal recognition particle sRNA large type". It matches the Rfam family "Bacterial large signal recognition particle RNA". From Rfam's summary of the family: The signal recognition particle (SRP) is a universally conserved ribonucleoprotein involved in the co-translational targeting of proteins to membranes. Archaeal SRP consists of a 7S RNA and homologues of the eukaryotic SRP19 and SRP54 proteins. The record is from RNAcentral. Lineage: Bacteria; Methylomirabilota (SeqCode).